RNAcentral lists this ribosomal RNA (440 nucleotides) under uncultured bacterium. RNAcentral describes it as "partial 16S ribosomal RNA". It matches the Rfam family "Bacterial small subunit ribosomal RNA", at positions 338 to 795 of the family's 1533-position model. The record is from RNAcentral.
CCUACGGGAGGCAGCAGUAGGGAAUAUUGCACAAUGGGGGAAAGCCUGAAGCAGCAACGCCGCGUGGGGGAUGAAGGUUUUAGGAUUGUAAACCCCUGUUGUGAGAGAAGAUAAUGACGGUAUCUCACGAAUAAGCACCGGCUAACUCCGUGCCAGCAACCGCGGGAAUACGGAGGGUGCAAGCGUGACUCGGAAUCAAUGGGCGUAAAGGGUGCGCAGGCGGGCUUGUAAGUAAGAUGUGAAAUCCUGUAGCGUAACUAGAGAACUGCAUUUGAAACUAUGAGUCUAGAGUGUGGGAGAGGUAGGUGGAACUCUUGGUGUAGCGGUGAAAUCCGUAGAUAUCAAGAGGAAUACUCAUUGCGAAGGCGACCUACUGGAACAUUACUGACGCUGAUGCACGAAAGCGUGGGUAGCAAACAGGAUUAGAUACCCUGGUAGUC